This 253-nucleotide ribosomal RNA is filed under the name uncultured bacterium. Its description in RNAcentral is "partial 16S ribosomal RNA". It matches the Rfam family "Bacterial small subunit ribosomal RNA", at positions 524 to 776 of the family's 1533-position model. The record is from RNAcentral.
UACAGAGGGUGCAAGCGUUGUUCGGAUUCAUUGGGCGUAAAGGGUGCGUAGGCGGCGCGGUAAGUCGGGUGUGAAAUCUUGGAGCUUAACUCCGAAACUGCAUUCGAUACUGCCGUGCUUGAGGACUGGAAAGGAGACUGGAAUUUACGGUGUAGCGGUGAAAUGCGUAGAUAUCGUAAGGAAGACCAGUGGCGAAGGCGGGUCUCUGGACAGUUCCUGACGCUGAGGCACGAAGGUCAGGGGAGCAAACGGG